UACGGAGGGAGCUAGCGUUGUUCGGAAUUACUGGGCGUAAAGCGCACGUAGGCGGCUUUGUAAGUCAGAGGUGAAAGCCUGGAGCUCAACUCCAGAACUGCCUUUGAGACUGCAUCGCUCGAAUCCGGGAGAGGUGAGUGGAAUUCCGAGUGUAGAGGUGAAAUUCGUAGAUAUUCGGAGGAACACCAGUGGCGAAGGCGGCUCACUGGCUCGAUACUGACGCUGAGGUGCGAAAGCGUGGGGAGCAAACAGG
Molecule: ribosomal RNA, 253 nt
Filed under: uncultured bacterium
Lineage: Bacteria
Description: partial 16S ribosomal RNA
Rfam family: Bacterial small subunit ribosomal RNA
Source: RNAcentral